Paramuricea clavata is the source of this 2394-nucleotide non-coding RNA. NCBI's taxonomy places the organism in Eukaryota, Metazoa, Cnidaria, Anthozoa, Malacalcyonacea, Plexauridae. The record is from the annotation of a GenBank genome assembly.
CAGGAGUACCGUAAACGAAUUCUACAAAAAAUUAUUCGUGAUUACCUGGAUAAUCAAACUAAGGAAGGAUUGCAGGGAGAGGCAGAAUGAGCAGUUUUUGAAGAAUAUUUAAAAAUAAAGGUACAUGUGGAUAGAAUGCAAAAAUUGUUUUCCAACUUUGUAUUGUCGGAAGGGUCCCUGUAAAAAACGGAAACCGAAAAGACCGAAUCCGGAAACGACCCAAACCGGAAACGACCCAAACCGGUAAUUCCCGCCUAAUUUCCCGCAUAAAAUUGCAUAAAAUUUAGCCUGCGAGCAGGCUCACUGGGAGAAAGGUGAGCCUCCACGGAACCAUGCGUUUUAUUCAUUCAUCCCCUUUUCGCAUCUGCUAAACGCGAACCAAUUAGAGUCGACCGGGAUAAUAAACAAAGACUGUCAACUGUCAAAUCGACGCAGGGCGUGAAAUGUACAACGAAGAAAUGUAAAAAACAAGUGUAACUCCAAAGAUCGAUAACAUUUUUAUAUUUAUCAACGUUUCGACUAUAUUUCAGUCAUCAUCAGGAUAAAGAAAUAUAUAUAACAAUAAUACGAAGCGUUAGCAAGCCGCUCAAUAUAUUAAAUAUGGGCUCCAGAUAAUACAUUACGAGUUAAUCAAUACACAUACAAAUUAAAAGCCGAAUAAAAUACUACCAUUGAAUGCAAUAAUACUUGUACUACUUGUGAUUGAAAUAACAAAGUUCUGAAUAUUUGAAGCUGUUAACUAAAAUGCCGUCAGAUAGAUUGGGAUUUGGAAUACGUCUGAAUGAGCAUGCAUUUAAUUUUUUCGAAAUAACGAGCGUGCCAUUAUAGUGGAAGCCGUAUCGUAUGUCAAAUGAGAAAGUGAAUGCAAUAUCGUUUUUAUUAAACAAAACCAGUAUUGUUCAGGAAGUUAAUAAUAUGCAGUAAGAUUAUUAAAUAAUUUACAAAAUUGUCAGCAGUUAAAUAUUAUACAAGUAAUACAACCUGACGAAUUACGACAUUCGGACGAUAUUUAUCUAAAUGAUAUGCCAGCGAUCGAGCAUCAACAAGAAAAUUUAUAUUCGUUAUGCGGGAAAUUAGGCGGGAAUUUCCGGUUUCGGUCGUUUCCGGAUUCGGUCGUUUCGGUCUCCGUUCUUUACAGAGACCCUUGUCGGAACUAAUUUAUUAGUCUUAGUGCGUGGUUACCCUGUUAGUACAUAGCAUUCAUGACAUAUACAGGGUGUUUAUAGUCUUUGAUUCAAAUGCCCGUUUUAAGUUAAGUUCAAUGCACGAAACUUCACUAGCGUUCCUAAAUUUUAUCAGAGAAUACAAAGGUUUCGUGAUUGGGUCACUUACCUAAACCAUGUUUCCAGGGUGACCAAGUUUAUGAUGGCGUGUCAAGCCAUAUUUGUAUUUUUUUCUUCUCAGCAACUGUUGGUUUGAUGUUAUUUCAACUUUUUAGGGCUGAAGCAUAUUUUUGUAAGCUGCAAAACAUUUGGGAUACUUUUACCAUUUAUGACGUCAUCAAUCAAAGAUGGCGGAAUUCAAGCUGGCGGGAUCAUGACGUCACUAGAUGACGUAAUGUAGUUAAGAAUCCAGGCAUUUAGCUUUAAAAGUGAAGAGUAGGUACAGAAUAUUUCAAGUUAUCAAUUGAUGAAAUAAUUUUCCGAAUAAAAAUUCGCCAGAUCUCAUAUCUGCAUAUGUAAUGAUAAUCACAAACGUUUUCGACAAAUCUUCGUUUUUAUACGUUUUAAUUACUAUAGCUACGUUGUUCUGCUUCGAUAUCUAAAUAGAUUAGAAAUUGCAAAACUAUUGUUUUACCAAUAUACAUUAGAAAUAUUUCUUCAUAUUACAGAAAUUCGAGUAUUUGGCUAAUGAUGACGUCGUGAUGACGUCGCCACGUGUUGCCAUGAUAACGGAAGUUGUAAGUGAGCUUCUACUUGCACGAGCAUCAUUCUCUGAAAGUUUCAUUGUGAUACCUUAUAUAGUUUUUGAGAUAUUAACUUAACUUAUUUAGUACUAAUACGAUAGUUUAAUUAAUAAGUAACUAGAUUUUUUGUCCAUAAAUACCUUAAUUAAUUCAUUCAUUUUGUAAAUUUGUAUGUUCCAUGUAACUGCAUGUCAUAUGUGUAAUUGUUUUUGUUGAAGCAGAACUCCAUUUAAACCUGUCAAUGGCUGAAUUGGACGAUCCUGAUUAAAUAUUGUUAUCAUCAAAUAUAAAUAAGUAUUGUUAUCUUCAACUCUCAUUACUUGGCCUACCAUUGUUAAAAGAGUUGAGUUGUUAAUAAAGAGUUGAGUCGAUUUCUCUGUAGUCAAUAGCGAUAGGUCGAUAGUUUUUCCGAUGAUGACGUUGGUCGAGCAAUUUGCAUCCCACCUAUUUACAGCAAAAUUUCGAUAAUAAAACACUUUUUAUUGUAA